CUCCUACAUUUGUUUCUUCUGACCAACCACAUCUUGCCAUGCCAUUUAGGGUUUCAUUUCAUUUUAGGGUUCAAUUAGGGUUCAAUCCUCUUCAUUACAUUCAUUCAAAUAAUUCUUUGCCAGAUGUCUCAUGUGGACCUCUCCUAUAACUGCUGGUUUAUGCAAACAACAGGUAUUGCUGGUUUAUGCAAACAACUGGUAUUGCUGAUUUAUGCAAACAAUUGGCACAAGUGGUUUAUGGAAACAAUUGUGGUUUUAAGAUUGCUUUCCCAAUUUUUGUUCAUUUGUGGAGUUUUUUUUCUCUCUCUUCCCCCUCUCUCUCUCGUACGCUCUAGCUCUUUCUCACCUUCCUCUCACACUUUCAUCUCUCUUUCUCUCUGCACUCUCCAUCUCAUCCUUCACCAUAACAUCCACACAACAACCUCCACCACCAUCUAUGAAAUUGAGGCAAUGAAAUGAUGAAAUCGGUAAACAAUUUUGAAUUUUUAUGAAAAAAUGUUGAAAAUUGAUGGAUUAGGGUUUGGUUGAUUUAGGGAUCAAGACCAAGGCAGCGAUAGUGCCAACCUUGCAUGCAAGAAGCGAAGGAGAAAAGAAGAGCGCUCGCCGUUGUUGAAGGUGAAAGGGAGCGCAUGAAAUCGAAGAGGAAAAGGGUUUCUACCAUUCACGAAGAAGAUGAAGAUCUGAGGGAAAUUGGGAAGAAAGAGUUUGGGAAGAAAAGAAAGGAAGGAAAGGGAAAUAUGGCCGAGUGAGAAAAUAUUUGCCGGCGGGAGAGAAGUUCCGGCGAGGAGGAGGAGUUCCGGCCGAGAGAGUUCUUGUGGCGGUUUGUGUAGGGUUGGGCAUUAAGGUUGCAAUCAAGUCGGUAUUUAUGAUCGCACCGCCGGCACAAUAGUUCCAGUGCUUUUGGUUUGCUGUUCACUUCUAUGUGGAAAAAGGUAACAAAUCUAUUCCUUUAUGAUAUGUUUGAUGUGUAGAAAAAGGUUAGAAAUUUAUUUUCUUCAAUUGUUUAUGAUUCUCAUCAUAUUAAAAGGUAGGAAAUUCAAAAUUGUUUUGAAUUCAUAACUAACUUGAUGGUUGGUGUCUUUGCAGGUAUAACACAUUUGUUUUACUCAUACUGGACUUAUUCCAUAUUGAGUUUUGUUCCUUAUUUUUUAUUUUGUUCCUUUUUUAGUUUGUAAAUGUUAUUGUUUUCCCUUUUUAUCCUCUCAUUUUGUCCUUUCUUAAGGUAAUUUUCAGAGAUUGUUUUAUACUAUAGCAGAUUUUUGUUUAUACUAUUUAUUUGUAGAAAUUGGUUUAUACUAUAGCAGGUUUUGAAGACUAUAACAGAUAAAGUGGGCACUGAUGGUUUCUUUCAUAAUUGAAUGGGCAAUUAUCACAUCAAUGAAUUCACGGGGCUGUGCAACUACACUUUAAGGAAUGAAAUAGGAGUGACAAUUUUGGUUGCUAGAGGCUAGCUAACAAAUGAAAGAAUGGUUGCAUUGCUCUGUUGAUGCUUGCAAGAUGCAGUAAAGAAAAGAAUACAAGUUUAUAAAAAAUGCUAUGAAAGAGUUUGAGAAAAAUGGCAAGAUAAGUAAGGUCAUGGAUGCCACCCUUGAAGAUUUGGAAGGGAAUAUGAUACACUGUACUUUAUGGGAUGAUCAUGCUGUGAAAAUGCAGCAAUUUUCGGAUAAUCAGGACCCAUCACUCGCUGUAAUAGUUAUCCUUCAGCUGUGCAAACUUAAGAAGUAUCUUGGUUCCAUGGGAGUUUCAUGUUGAAGCUGCACAAGAAAUUGAUCAAUCUCAAGGUUCAUGUGUGCAUAAUAUACUUAGCCGCGUUCACACUUUCCAUAUGGAAUAUGAUCCUCAUAGUGUAAGCCUUUUUUAAUUUCCUUUCCUCUCUAUGUCUAUAUAAAAGAUUGGUUUCUGUUUUGUGUUUAGGCAAUUUAGUGGCAAAUAUUAGAUUCAUGUUUUGUACAAAAAAAUCAUGGUUUGGACUGAUUUUUCCAGCACUGCAUGCUAUUUUAUUGUGCUAUCUUUUGAUGCUUUUAUAUUGCAAUGGAAACAAAUCAUCAUGUCCAGAGUGUGUACACAUCUACAUAUCCAUGGCCAAUCAAAAAAUUAACAUACAUCCAUGGAUGCAGGAAGCAGGUGGGCAAACUUAUUGUCAUACAUAAUUUUUGUUUUUCCCAAAAUACAUGACUUAUUUUAAUCACUUUGUCUACAUUGAUUGAUUGUGAUUAACAUUAUGAAUUUGCUAAUGCAUUCCAAUAUAUGCAUACGAAUUUAACAUAUGAAUAUAUGCAUUUGACGCCAUGUUUCUGCAUUUGUUUAUUUUGUAUCAUGAACUAUGAUAGAUCACAUUUCUUCUUUUUUUGGUGUAUAUGAGCACUUGGUUUAUGUCAAUUUUUUUUUUGGUUCACUGCAGACAUUAGCCAAACUACCUCAAUGUUUUGUUCGCGAUUUCGGGGACUUAAUUGAUGCAUAUUAUAAAAAAUUCUAAUGACAUAUGUACUUUGAUCGAGGGUGGUUGGUUCUUAGAAAUAUUUAUGACAUAUGGCUUAGUGUUUGGCUUAGCUUUACUUAUGUUAAUCCUAACUCCCCUUAGGCAUUUGUUGACUAGAACUGAUAGUGAUCCUAAACUUGGCUCAUUCACAUUGCUCAGAUCCUGUAAUGGUCAUGUACUGCCAAGAUCAUUUGUUCUUUAGUACCUCAAAAAAUUGACGGCUUAUGAUGUUGAAUCUCGAUUUUUGGUUUCGCCUUGGUAUGGAUUUGGUGAAUCUGCCUUCACAUUUACUUUUUCCGACUUGGUGUUGGUAGAUCAUAUUGGUGCUAGGUAUCCAUGUAGCAUAAAUGUUGGCGUUGAUGCUCAGGGUGAACUUGCUUGCAAGGUGUUUGGCGGUUGGGCGCAUUUAUGCAGAGGACAUCGCUUGGUCCAGGGUGACAAAGUUCGUUUUGUUCUUAAUGAACCUGCCGGUAAUUAUGUCAUGUAUGUCUGUGUUUAUCCUCAGAUAGGGAUAGAAACCACCCUUAGUUAUCCAUUGAAUGAUGGCUCUUAUUUGCCUUUGUAUGUCUCCCAACAGUAUUUUGUGGCUUACUCUUGACUUGUGUUAGUGUGGUUUGGUCACUUAGCUGUACUUUUUAAUGUAUUAGUGUCUUUGUUUCAAAUAUUUGGUACUCAAUGAAAUGUAUCCAAUCUUCAGUUAAUAACUUAUUACAAAUA
RNA transcript from Trifolium pratense (red clover), 3196 nucleotides. RefSeq lists it as uncharacterized. The record is from RefSeq and is a predicted model, not a curated record. Lineage: Eukaryota; Viridiplantae; Streptophyta; Magnoliopsida; Fabales; Fabaceae. The transcript is spliced from 8 exons.